This 1054-nucleotide long non-coding RNA is filed under the name Marmota monax (woodchuck). Lineage: Eukaryota; Metazoa; Chordata; Mammalia; Rodentia; Sciuridae. The record is from RNAcentral.
AAACUAUGAUCAAAUGAGUUUUAUUCCAGGUAUGCAAGAUUGGUUCAACAUAUGCGAAUCAAUAAAUGUGCUUCACCACAUAAAUAGAGUUAAGGUCAAGAAUCCUAUGAGCAUCUCAAUAAAUGCAGAAAACACCUUUGAUAAAAUCCAGCACCCAUUCAUGUUAAAAACACUGGAGAAACUAGGGAUAGAAGAAACUUACCUCAAUAUUAUACAGGCUAUAUAUGACAACCCAAAGCCAACACAUAACUGAAUUAAAAAAAAAAAAACUGAAAGCAUUUCUUCUAAAAUUAGGAAUAAGACAAGGACACCCAUCUCACCACUCCUAUCCAAUAUAGUACUUGAAACUCUGUCUAGAGCAAGCAGGCAAGAGAAGGAGACUAAAGGGAUACCAAUAGGAAAAAAAAAAGUCAAACUAUCUCUGUUUGCUGGUGACAUCUUAUAUCGAAAAGAUGCCCCCUCCCCAAAAAAAUACUCCAUCAGAAGACUCCUAAAACUUAUAAAUUCACCAAAGCAGAAAAAUACAAGAUAAACAUUCGUAAAACAAUAACUUUCCUAUGCUCUAACAGUGAUUUUGCCAAAAAAGAAACCGAAAAAAUUAUCCCAUCCACAUUAAUCUCAAAAAAAAAUCCAAUUAAAAUAUCUGGCAUUUAAUCUAACCAAGGAGGUAAAAGAUCUCUACAGUGAAAAUUACAGAACACUGAAGAAAGAAAUCAAAUAACUCAGAAGAUGAAAAGACCUUGAGUGUUCUUGGAUAAGCAGAAUUAAAUGGUCAAGAUGGUUAUACUGUCAAAAAUGCUAUACAGAUUCAAUAUCCCCAUUAAAAUAUCAAUGAUAUUCUUCACAGAACUAGAAAAAAACAGUCCUGAAGUUCAUUUGGAAGAAUAAGAGACCCAAUAGCCAAAGCAAUCUUUAGCAAGAAGAGCGAGGCAAGAGGGAUCACAAUACCUGAUCUCAAAUUAAACUACAGAGCUAUGGUAGCAUCGCGCUGGGUGAAAUAAGCCAGACUCAGAAAAGCUACCGUGGAGUAUUUCUCUCAUGUGAAUAGAGCAAU